CCCUCAUUUGUGCUGCAGGCAGAAUAGUAGUCCGGACAAGGCACAAAACAGCAUCGGGACUGAAAAGGUCACUGAACCAUGCCCUCACAGGCUACAACACAGCUCCAGCCGGAUCUCAUCAGUGGACCAUUGUGUCACCUGGGAAGACCUACAUUGUAGCGGAUCCAUUAUCACAGCUCACAGCUGGUAGAGAGACCAGAGUGCAGAUGCCUCCCAGGCAGCAUGUUGAUAUAAGACAAUGACCCCAAACACACCUCCAGGCUGUGUAAGGGCUAUUUACCAAGCAGGAGCGUGAUGGAGUGCUGCAUCAGAUGACCUGGCCUCCACAAUCACCUGACUUCAACCCAAGGUGUUAUGGUUACUACAUGAUUCCAUGUGUUGUUUUAUAGUUUUGAUGUAUUCACUAUUAUUCUACAAUGUAGAAAAUAGUAAAAAUUGAGAAAAACCCUUGAAUGAGUAGGUGUGUCCAAACCUUUGACUGGUGCAGUAUAUAUAUUUACUGAACAUCAAUAUAAACGCAACAAUUUCAUUGAUUUUACUGAGUUAUGAGGCUUUUUGUAAGUACCGCCAAAUUCUCUAAAACGACAUUGGCUUAUGGUAGAGAAAUUAACAUUAAAUUAUCUGGCAACAGCUCUAGUGGACAUUCCUGCAGUCAGCAUACCAAUUGCACGCUCCCUCAAAACUUGAGACUUCUGUGGCAUUGUGUUGUGUGACAAAACUGCACAUUUUAGAGUGGUGCACCUGUGUAAUGAUCAUGCUGUUUAAUCAGCUUCUUGAUAUGCCACACCUGUCAGGUAGGUGGAUGGAUUAUCUUGGGAAAGGAGACAUGCUCACUAACAGGGAUGUAGACUAGUUUGUGCACAACAUUUGAGAGAAAUACGAUUUUUGUGUGUAAGGAACAUUUCUGGGAUCUUUUAUUCCAGCUCAUGAAACAUGGGGCCAACAGUGUACAUGUUGCGCUUAUAUUUUUGUUC
Molecule: long non-coding RNA, 974 nt
Organism: Oncorhynchus tshawytscha (Chinook salmon)
Lineage: Eukaryota; Metazoa; Chordata; Actinopteri; Salmoniformes; Salmonidae
Source: Ensembl